This 951-nucleotide ribosomal RNA is filed under the name uncultured archaeon. RNAcentral describes it as "bacterial SSU rRNA". It matches the Rfam family "Archaeal small subunit ribosomal RNA", at positions 1 to 925 of the family's 1478-position model. The record is from RNAcentral.
AUUUUCCGGUUGAUCCUGCCGGACCCUACUGCUAUCGGGGUGGGACUUAAACAUGCGAGUCGAACGACUCUAAGCCAAUAUAGAGUCGUGGCAUACGGCUCAGUAACACGUGGCCAACCCACCCUCGGGACGGAGACAACCCCGGGAAACUGGGGCCAACCCCCGAUAGGCGAAGACACCUGGAACGGGUCUCCACCCAAAAAGCGUUAAGGUUACGCUCCUUAACAUUGCCCGAGGACGGAGCCGCGACCGAUCAGGCUGUUGGUGAGGCAACGGCUCACCAAACCUAUAACCGGUACGGGCCGUGGGAGCGGGAGCCCGGAGAUGGGCACUGAGACAAGGGCCCAGGCCCUACGGGGCGCAGCAGUUGCGAAAACUUGUCAAUGCACGAAAGUGUGAACGGGCUACCCCGAGUGCCGUCCGCUGAGGAUGGCUUUUCUCUGCUGUAAGGAGGCGGAGGAAUAAGGCGAGGGCAAGUCUGGUGUCAGCCGCCGCGGUAAUACCAGCUCGCCGAGUGGUAGGGAUGAUUAUUGGGCUUAAAGCGUCCGUAGCCGGCCUUCCAAGUCUCUCGUUAAAUCCAGCGAUUCAAUCGUUGGACUGCGGGAGAUACUGUUAGGCUAGGGGGCGGGAGAAGCCGACGGUAUUUCCGGGGUAGGGGUAAAAUCCUAUAAUCCCGGGAAGACCACCAGUGGCGUAGGCGGUCGGCUAGCACGCGCUCGACGGUGAGGGACGAAAGCUGGGGGAGCGAACCGGAUUAGAUACCCGGGUAGUCCCAGCUGUAAACGAUGCUGGCUAGGUGUUGGAGCGGCUACGAGCCGCUUCAGUGCCGCAGGGAAGCCAUUAAGCCAGCCGCCUGGGGAGUACGGCCGCAAGGCUGAAACUUAAAGGAAUUGGCGGGGGAGCACCACAAGGGGUGAAGCUUGCGGUUUAAUUGGAUUCAACGCCGGAAAU